GACGAACCGUACGAACGUUAUUCGGAAUUACUGGGCUUAAAGGGUGCGUAGGCGGCGUAGAAAGUUGGGUGUGAAAUCCCUCGGCUCAACCGAGGAACUGCGCCCAAUACUGCUAUGCUUGAGGGAGACAGAGGUGAGCGGAACUUAGGGUGGAGCGGUGAAAUGCGUUGAUAUCCUAAGGAACACCCGUGGCGAAAGCGGCUCACUGGGUCUCUUCCGACGCUGAGGCACGAAAGCUAGGGUAGCGAACGGG
RNAcentral lists this ribosomal RNA (253 nucleotides) under uncultured Blastopirellula sp. RNAcentral describes it as "partial 16S ribosomal RNA". It matches the Rfam family "Bacterial small subunit ribosomal RNA", at positions 524 to 776 of the family's 1533-position model. Lineage: Bacteria; Pseudomonadati; Planctomycetota; Planctomycetia; Pirellulales; Pirellulaceae. The record is from RNAcentral.